This is an unclassified non-coding RNA of Pongo abelii (Sumatran orangutan), 148 nucleotides long. It matches the Rfam family "Metazoan signal recognition particle RNA". Rfam says of the family: The signal recognition particle (SRP) is a universally conserved ribonucleoprotein. It is involved in the co-translational targeting of proteins to membranes. The eukaryotic SRP consists of a 300-nucleotide 7S RNA and six proteins: SRPs 72, 68, 54, 19, 14, and 9. The record is from Ensembl. NCBI's taxonomy places the organism in Eukaryota, Metazoa, Chordata, Mammalia, Primates, Hominidae.
GCCGGGCAUGGUGGUGCGUGCCUGUAGUCCCAGCUACUUGGGAGGCUGAGGCAAGAGAAUCGCUUGAACCCGGGAGAUGGAGGUUGCAGUGAGCUGAGAUCGCACCACUGCGCUCCAGCCUGGGCAACAAAGCGAGACCCUGUCUCAA